This 253-nucleotide ribosomal RNA is filed under the name uncultured bacterium. RNAcentral describes it as "partial 16S ribosomal RNA". It matches the Rfam family "Bacterial small subunit ribosomal RNA", at positions 524 to 776 of the family's 1533-position model. The record is from RNAcentral.
UACGUAGGGUGCGAGCGUUAAUCGGAAUUACUGGGCGUAAAGCGUGCGCAGGCGGUUUUGUAAGCCAGAUGUGAAAUCCCCGGGCUUAACCUGGGAAUGGCAUUUGGGACUGCAAGGCUUGAGUGCGGCAGAGGAGACUGGAAUUCCUGGUGUAGCAGUGAAAUGCGUAGAUAUCAGGAGGAAAACCGAUGGCGAAGGCAGGUCUCUGGGCUGACACUGACGCUCAUGCACGAAAGCGUGGGGAGCAAACAGG